Molecule: small nuclear RNA, 107 nt
Filed under: Neotoma lepida (desert woodrat)
Lineage: Eukaryota; Metazoa; Chordata; Mammalia; Rodentia; Cricetidae
Source: RNAcentral
GUGCUCAAUUCGGCAGCACAUAUACUAAAAUUGGAACGAUACAGAGAAGAUUAGCAUGGCCCCUGCACAAGGAUGACACACAAAUUCGUGAAGUGUUCAUUAUUUUU